AGUUACCUCGUGAAAGGACAGCAAAAGUCAGGGAGUGGUACAAACCUGGAAGGAGUUCAUACAAAAGCUUCCCACAUGGAUUCCAGCCUCUCUUCUCUCUUGUCUAUGAGGUGUGGCUGGCAGGAGCAAGGAAACCAGCAGGUUACUCCAUUUUCAUGACCAGGAUUAUUAUGGGGUCACAGUGACUGCAUGGAACGUGCCACACUAAAUUCUGGAACAGGACUAGAAACUGAUUCUUCCUGCUCAUGUGAUCCGCACCUGCACCCAUGAAGCUGAAAUGAAAGACGGGCUCCCUGUGGCUCACUGCCAAAACCCCAGCAGUGGACUGAUAUUUGACAUUGCCAAAAACAAACCAGAAGAAAUCUUGAAUAGUCCUCCCUGUAGGAG
Non-coding RNA from Lonchura striata (white-rumped munia), 387 nucleotides. The record is from RefSeq and is a predicted model, not a curated record. NCBI's taxonomy places the organism in Eukaryota, Metazoa, Chordata, Aves, Passeriformes, Estrildidae.